This is a long non-coding RNA of Galleria mellonella (greater wax moth), 965 nucleotides long. RefSeq lists it as uncharacterized. The record is from RefSeq and is a predicted model, not a curated record. The transcript has 6 exons. NCBI's taxonomy places the organism in Eukaryota, Metazoa, Arthropoda, Insecta, Lepidoptera, Pyralidae.
CAUUUUUAUAUUACAUGAAUAUAAAAGUACCUAUUUACUUAAUUUAGUUGUUUUUAAUUUUUAGAUUGCAGUUAACAAGAAAUGCAAUGAAGCAUGAAUGCAAUAUAUAAAUCUAAAUUCCUCGGCGAGGCGCAUCAUCGUACAUAAGGCACAGUAAAAUAAACCGCGUUUACUAAUCGUUACAGGUUAAAACCGGCUACAAAUGGUAAUAAAAUAAAGGGUAAAAAUACUACAGUUUUAUCUACACACUGAUCAAUAGAAUGGAAUGAAAUGGAUUAAAAUGGAAUAGAAUGGGAUAGAGCAGAAUAGAAACAAUUUUUAUUAAAAUAGAUUUGUUUACAAGCUUUUUUAAAUCAUAAUUUUUUCUUGAUUUGACUACUGGGUUCGAGGUGUUCUUAUCUGCUGAGAAGAAACCGUAAGAAACUCAAUGAUAACAUUUAAAAUCGAAUGGAAAAUACAGUUGACGUGAAAGCUCUUCCUCUUUUGAAAUCGUUACGAAGAGAGGUUCCACAAAUACAAAUACAUACUUCCUAACUCACAACAGAAUCCGGAAUCAACAAUUUGGUGAUAAUCACAUUCUACAACUGAAGCAGGCGUGUGCCGUCGCAUACGUUCACCUCGUCAACAUUUCUAUAGAUGUAGGAAAUUUGUCAGAACAGAAGCAGGUAGCGAUCAAUGGUCUUAUAUUAAUCUAAAAGAAAAAACGUUGAAAUACACACGUCGUUCCGCCGUCUAGACUCGUGGUAAAUCCUGGCGGACCCUAUUCGAUACGAGGCGAUCUCCCCGAGGAGGAAGCCUAUGUUCAACGACUGACAUGGCACGGACCCUUCGCUGUAUGGGCUCAGCUCGCACCAGACUGAUUUUUUUAUAUUAGCUACGUAUAUUAAAAAAAGUUAAUAUUUAAUAAGUCGAAUAAAAGCAAUAAAUUAGUACAAGAUUUAUAUUCUCUAUGGAAAUAAAAGUUA